ACGUAGGGGGCGAGCGUUGUCCGGAAUUACUGGGCGUAAAGGGUGCGUAGGCGGUUUUACAAGUCGGAUGUGGAAUACCCGGGCUUAACCCGGGGGUGUCAUUCGAAACUGUAAGACUUGAGUGCAGAAGAGGAAAGUGGAAUUCCCAGUGUAGCGGUGAAAUGCGUAGAUAUUGGGAGGAACACCAGUGGCGAAGGCGACUUUCUGGGCUGUAACUGACGCUGAGGCACGAAAGCGUGGGGAGCAAACAG
This 251-nucleotide ribosomal RNA is filed under the name uncultured prokaryote. RNAcentral's name for it is "partial 16S rRNA". It matches the Rfam family "Bacterial small subunit ribosomal RNA", at positions 525 to 775 of the family's 1533-position model. The record is from RNAcentral.